This 1005-nucleotide unclassified non-coding RNA is filed under the name Hevea brasiliensis (rubber tree). Lineage: Eukaryota; Viridiplantae; Streptophyta; Magnoliopsida; Malpighiales; Euphorbiaceae. The record is from RNAcentral.
GAAAGAUUGUUUUCUUCAGUCAACAUAGCUCAUACUUGCACCAUGCUUAAUUGUGGCUAUUUUCUUUUCUUGUACACAUAGAUUCUCUCUACAUGCUUUAAAGCACAGGAGUCAACUUCAACUUCAAGGAGCGACUGAAGCCAUUCAAGCAGAAUUUCGAAAGCUUCCAACUGGUUAUUCUUGACAGCCAGGUGAAACACAGUUUCAUUCCGGGCUGUUUGCUGUACAAUACAUUGAGGAUCAAAAUCAAGCAGAAAGUUUAUUAUGUCUAUACUCCCAGCUAUGACUGCGCAAUGAAGAGGAGUUUCUUCUCUCUGCCUCUUAACCUAAAAAGGAGACGAUUAAGAGAAAGGAAUUCUUUCACCAGCUCCAAUUGGCCAGUGGCUGAAGCCAAGUGCAUGGGACUAAAGCGAUCUCCAUCAAGUUUUGCACAAAGCAAUGAAUUUAAGUUUGCCGUCUCCUUCGCAAAACGGGUUUGUCUAGCCAACACGGUAACAUCUAAUGGAGUUUUUGAGAGGACAACCUUAUCAAGGUUUUGGAGGGUUUGAUUGUCCUGAAGUAACUGAUACAAAACAUCUAUAUCUCCAGAAUGAGCAGCAUCAAACAAUUUCUCAUUCUUAACUUCUAUAAGUGAGCACAAGGACAUGCCAGAAAGAUCUGCAGAUGGCUAGUUGAGCUAUACAUACAUAUAAUAUAUAUAUUUCAACUAAUUAUCUCAUAUCAAUAUAAAGGGGAUAGAUUAGUUUAGGUCAGACUUUAAUUAUUAAUAAUUUGAUAUUUCAUCAUUGAUGAGGUAACAUUUUUUUCACAAAGAGGAAAAUUUCUUUAAAUGUAUCAGAAAUUUUAUUCAACAGUUGUUUGUAACUUUAGAAGUUUCACAUUUUCAAUACUGAGAUAACAGAGUACAAUAUCACAACUUGAAGCUAAACUAAACUUAAGAACAUUAAGACUUUAAUUAUUAAUACUUGUAGUUUUACUCCUUGCACUUGAUGAGUUGUCUAAGCA